UACGGAGGGGGUUAGCGUUGUUCGGAAUUACUGGGCGUAAAGCGCGCGUAGGCGGACCAGAAAGUUGGGGGUGAAAUCCCGGGGCUCAACCCCGGAACGGCCUCCAAAACUCCUGGUCUUGAGUUCGAGAGAGGUGAGUGGAAUUCCGAGUGUAGAGGUGAAAUUCGUAGAUAUUCGGAGGAACACCAGUGGCGANGGCGGCUCACUGGCUCGAUACUGACGCUGAGGUGCGAAAGUGUGGGGAGCAAACAGC
This 253-nucleotide ribosomal RNA is filed under the name uncultured bacterium. RNAcentral's name for it is "partial 16S ribosomal RNA". It matches the Rfam family "Bacterial small subunit ribosomal RNA", at positions 524 to 776 of the family's 1533-position model. The record is from RNAcentral.